RNAcentral lists this ribosomal RNA (462 nucleotides) under uncultured bacterium. RNAcentral's name for it is "partial 16S ribosomal RNA". It matches the Rfam family "Bacterial small subunit ribosomal RNA", at positions 28 to 507 of the family's 1533-position model. The record is from RNAcentral.
GACGAACGCUGGCGGCGUGCUUAACACAUGCAAGUCCAACGGAAAGGCCCUUCGGGGUACUCGAGUGGCGAACGGGUGAGUAACACGUGGGUGAUCUGCCCUGCACUUUGGGAUAAGCCUGGGAAACUGGGUCUAAUACCGAAUAGGACCACGCGCUUCAUGGUGUGUGGUGGAAAGCUUUUGCGGUGUGGGAUGGGCCCGCGGCCUAUCAGCUUGUUGGUGGGGUAAUGGCCUACCAAGGCGACGACGGGUAGCCGGCCUGAGAGGGUGACCGGCCACACUGGGACUGAGAUACGGCCCAGACUCCUACGGGAGGCAGCAGUGGGGAAUAUUGCACAAUGGGCGCAAGCCUGAUGCAGCGACGCCGCGUGAGGGAUGACGGCCUUCGGGUUGUAAACCUCUUUCAAUAGGGACGAAGCGCAAGUGACGGUACCUAUAGAAGAAGCACCGGCCAACUACGUG